GCGGGAAUAGCUCAGUGGUAGAGCACAACCUUGCCAAGGUUGGGGUCGCGGGUUCAAGUCCCGUUUCCCGCU
This 72-nucleotide transfer RNA is filed under the name bacterium. Its description in RNAcentral is "tRNA-Gly". It matches the Rfam family "tRNA". From Rfam's summary of the family: Transfer RNA (tRNA) molecules are approximately 80 nucleotides in length. Their secondary structure includes four short double-helical elements and three loops (D, anti-codon, and T loops). The record is from RNAcentral. RNAcentral also lists the same sequence under 6 other names.